GGAUACAUAUUGACAGCUCUUA
RNAcentral lists this small nuclear RNA (22 nucleotides) under Arabidopsis thaliana (thale cress). RNAcentral describes it as "snRNA_15503". Lineage: Eukaryota; Viridiplantae; Streptophyta; Magnoliopsida; Brassicales; Brassicaceae. The record is from RNAcentral.